UCCAAUUUCUCGAUGCACACGG
This 22-nucleotide non-coding RNA is filed under the name Arabidopsis thaliana (thale cress). The record is from RNAcentral. Lineage: Eukaryota; Viridiplantae; Streptophyta; Magnoliopsida; Brassicales; Brassicaceae.